Cynoglossus semilaevis (tongue sole) is the source of this 740-nucleotide long non-coding RNA. RefSeq lists it as uncharacterized. The transcript is spliced from 4 exons. The record is from RefSeq and is a predicted model, not a curated record. NCBI's taxonomy places the organism in Eukaryota, Metazoa, Chordata, Actinopteri, Pleuronectiformes, Cynoglossidae.
CACGUUACAACAGGGAAACCUGCGGCUUAUAGAGAAGUGCGGCCAAUAUAUGAACAAUUAUUUCUUUCUUUUGAAAUACAGUGGGUGCGGCUUAUAUUCGGGUGAGCUCAAUAGUCCGGAAAUUACGGUAUAUGUGCCCGUGGUGUCUCCGUAAACUGAUUUUUAGCAAAUGCAAAAUCCAGCUUUGAAUGACAUUUCUUGUUUUUGAUGGCUUCAUGACUCUUUUUGCUGAUUUUUCCCCUCAACAUUUUUUUUUUUUUACCACAACCCACUGAAACGACAAGCUUGUCACUUUUUGUUCACCCACCCGUUGAGAAUCACCGCGUUAUCUGACAGCAACUUGAAAAUGGUUUGAAUCCUGUAUUUUGAGCUGUGUUGUACAGGCAACAGUAACCAUCACCGCUUUGCGUCUGUUUCUCAUUCACAGUUGGGCCCACAUUUGGCAGUGUGAUAUAUCAGUUUGUUGGAGAGACAGCUCCUUUCCUUAUUCUGGCUUCCCUGGCUCUUUUGGACGGAGCACUGCAACUUUGUGUUCUUCGGCCCACGAAGGUUAAACCAGAGAGUCAGAAGGGCUCAUCGUUGCUGACACUGAUGAAAGAUCCAUAUAUUUUAAUUGCAGCAGGUGCCAUUUGUUUUGGAAAUAUGGGCAUUGCAAUGAUGGAACCAACACUGCCUAUCUGGAUGAUGCAAACCAUGUGUCCUAGUAAAUGGCAGCUAGGUAGGAGCUGUAAACAACCUGG